RNAcentral lists this ribosomal RNA (320 nucleotides) under uncultured eukaryote. Its description in RNAcentral is "partial 18S ribosomal RNA". It matches the Rfam family "Eukaryotic small subunit ribosomal RNA", at positions 1470 to 1796 of the family's 1831-position model. The record is from RNAcentral.
CCCUUAGAUGUUCUGGGCCGCACGCGCGCUACACUGAUUCAUGCAACAAGUUUUGUCCUUGGCUGAUAGGCCUGGGUAAUCUUUGAACGCUGUUCGUGAUUGGGAUAGACCUUUGCAAUUAUGGGUCUUCAACGAGGAAUUCCUAGUAAACGCAAGUCAUCAGCUUGCAUUGAUUACGUCCCUGCCCUUUGUACACACCGCCCGUCGCACCUACCGAUUGAAUGGUCCGGUGAAAUCUCGGGACGGCGGCUUGGUCGCUUGCGUCCGACUGCUGAAACUUGAUUAAACCAUAUCAUUUAGAGGAAGGUGAANUCGUAACA